This 390-nucleotide ribosomal RNA is filed under the name uncultured Enterococcus sp. RNAcentral describes it as "bacterial SSU rRNA". It matches the Rfam family "Bacterial small subunit ribosomal RNA", at positions 505 to 895 of the family's 1533-position model. The record is from RNAcentral. Lineage: Bacteria; Bacillati; Bacillota; Bacilli; Lactobacillales; Enterococcaceae.
GUGCCAGCAGCGGCGGUAAUACGUAGGUGGCAAGCGUUGUCCGGAUUUAUUGGGCGUAAAGCGAGCGCAGGCGGUUCUUUAAGUCUGAUGUGAAAGCCCCCGGCUUAACCGGGGAGGGUCAUUGGAAACUGGGGAACUUGAGUGCAGAAGAGGAGAGUGGAAUUCCAUGUGUAGCGGUGAAAUGCGUAGAUAUAUGGAGGAACACCAGUGGCGAAGGCGGCUCUCUGGUCUGUAACUGACGCUGAGGCUCGAAAGCGUGGGAGCAAACAGGAUUAGAUACCCUGGUAGUCCACGCCGUAACGAUGAGUGCUAAGUGUUGGAGGUUUCCGCCCUUCAGUGCUGCAGCUAACGCAUUAAGCACUCCGCCUGGGACGUACGACCGCGAAGGUU